RNA transcript from Amaranthus tricolor (Joseph's coat), 2646 nucleotides. It is a transcript of the gene named short-chain dehydrogenase reductase ATA1, with no coding region annotated. The transcript is spliced from 3 exons. The record is from RefSeq and is a predicted model, not a curated record. Lineage: Eukaryota; Viridiplantae; Streptophyta; Magnoliopsida; Caryophyllales; Amaranthaceae.
UUUUAGUAUGUUUUACUUCUCCAAAAUCAUUUACUUUCAAUACAAACCUCGAAUAGACGAGUAGAUAAUUGUUUAAGCCAUUUGGUUUGAAGUUCACAAUUUUCCCACAUUCUGUUUCAGUAUCUUUAAGAAAUUGGCAAAAAGCGGAGAAAAUUUUUCCGUGGAGUCUUCAGAACUAUUUUCAAGUCACCAAUUCUCCAACUGCCUCUCUUUUCUAUAUUCAUCCAAAGAUUCAUACACACUUCGUACAUUUUGGUAUCUCCAAGAUUCCCUAAUUUCUUGUUGAACAAAGAAUGCUUCUUUUCAUCAAUCCGAGGAAUGUCAAGCAGUUAAUCAAAUAUCAUCAACGUACUAAUCGUCUUUCUAUUGUUUUUGAAUCAACCACUCAGUCCUGUCUUUCCAUCAAGAACAACCAAGAGAUCGAGAGAAUCACCAAAAUAAUAAAUGACCACCCCUUUCCUGAAAUUCCUCUGCAACCUAUCCUCUUUCAGCAUAUUCUUCCUUCCAACCUAUCGGCUAGCUUUGUGGAGGAUGUUCUUGGCCGCCUAUUUUCAGCAAAUACUAAUGGUGUUAAAGCUUUUGAGUUCUUCAAAUUCUUCCUUCAGUAUUCCAACUUACCUCCCUCUUCCGAUGCAAUUGAAAAAACUCUGCACAUUCUAGCAAGAAUGCGAUACUUUGAUAAAGCCUGGGAGUUGAUGGAAGAAAUCGUCAAAAUAGAUCCUUCCUUGCUGACUCUCAAGUCAAUGAGUAUUGUCUUGUCAAAAAUUGCAAAACACCAGUCCUAUGAAGAUACACUUGCUGCAUUUAAUAGGAUGGAGAAGAGCAUAUUUGUUGGAAGAAAAUUUGGAGUUGAAGAAUUCAAUGUACUGCUUCGUGUAUUUUGCACCCAAAGACAGAUAAAGGAGGCAAAAUCUGUAUUCAGUAAAAUGUAUUCACAAUUCCCGUCAAGCACCAAGACCAUGAACAUCUUGCUCUUGGGUUUUAAGGAAUCUAGAGAUAUAACUUCAGUUGAAUUAUUCUACCAUGAAAUGGUGAAGAGAGGUUUCAAACCUAAUUAUAUUACAUACAACAUCAGAAUUGAUGCUUAUUGCAAAAGGCGCUGCUUUGAUGACGGAUUGAGACUCCUUCAAGAGAUGGAACUUAGAAAUUGCAUGCCAACAUUAGAAACAAUCACUACUUUGAUCCAUGGGGCAGGCAUUGCUAGAAAUGAGAUUCGAGCAUGGGAGUUAUUCAAUGAACUACCCAAAAGAAAGCUAUACCCUGAUGUUGGAGCUUAUAAUGCAAUGAUAAGCGUUCUUGUCAAGUGCAGAAAGAUGGACACCGCGAUCAACUUGAUGAAUGAAAUGGAAGAUAAGCUUAUUGAUCCUGAUGGCAUAACCUACCAUACUUUGUUCCAUGGAUUGAUGAAGUCAAGUGGUAUUGAGGCGGUUAGAGGUUUCUACCAAAAAAUGGUAAUGAAGAACUUUGUUCCAGAGACACGUACAGUGGUGAUGCUAAUGAAAUUCUUUUGUGGAAACCGCCAUGUGGAUUUAGCUGUAAAUUUGUGGAACUACUUGAUGGAGAAGGGUUAUUGUCCGCAUGAUCAUGCAUUGGCUCUUUUAGUGACAAGUUUAUGUUCACGUGGACAGAUUCAAGAAGCUUUCGAGUAUGCUACACAGAUGUUAAAACGAGGUAGGUAUAUAGGCCAACCUGUGCACCAUAUGUUAGAGAGAUUUUUGCGGGAAGCAGGUGAAUUUGAUAAGCUAAGGAACCUCGAAGAGAUGACAAAGAAGUUAGGCAGUGUUUAUCCCCAACAUGGUUUUGGACUUUUUGCUUCGUUGUAAUAUAUAAAUUUGGCACUCCAAUGUAUUUUGUGGAGUGUAUUCGCGAAAUCAAAUGUUAUAAAUUGUGGAACCUUCCAUUUGGUGCAAGUUAAGAGUGCUGUUUGAACUAGGAAUAAAAAGAUAAUUAAAUGACGAUUGAAGGCUAAAGGGUGAUGUGAGAUACUAUGCUGAAUCUGUUUAGGGAUUCUAUUGGGGAGAGCUAUGGGUUAGAAAAGUCAAUGAUUUUUAUAUCAAUCAGGUCAUGUUUGCCUUUGCCUUGGGCUAUGCUUAUCUACUGUCUGCAGAGUGUGUUACUACUGGAUGCUUGAGUAACAAUUUGAUUAGAAGGACUAGGACCUGGAUUCAUCAGUGGAGAAAUGAUAUGACAAAUGAAAAACUUCUUGGGAGAUAAUUGCUGCUUGGGUGUAGUAUAAAGAGCUACUUGGGUUUUGCUUGGUUGAGAUGCUGUUGUAGCCCACUUGUUGCAGACUGUUAGUACGUGGGUCGCAUUUAGCUGCUAUCUGAAAUUAGACAGCUGCUGCUACUAUAGUGCGACUAUCUUGGUGAUGAUGGAUAGAAUUAUAUCUCUUGCUAUUUCUAUGUGAAGACGUCCUCUUACUGAUCAUGUAGAAUCCAAAGGAGACUACGCCAACAAGUUGAUCCUCUGAGUUAACAAUAGAAGUUGAUGGAUCAGUUCCUGUGAGGUUGAAGGGUAAAGUUGCAAUAAUAACAGGGGGUGCACGAGGCAUAGGAGCUGCCGCAGUAAAACUCUUUGCCUUAAAUGGGGCACAUGUAAUUGUGGCUGACGUACUUGACGAACUUGGCAUCAACCUCGCUAACUCCA